UGGGGAAUAUUGCACAAUGGGGAAGACCCUGAUGCAGCGACGCCGCGUGAAGGAAGAAGUAUCUCGGUAUGUAAACUUCUAUCAGCAGGGAAGAAAAUGACGGUACCUGACUAAGAAGCCCCGGCUAACUACGUGCCAGCAGCCGCGGUAAUACGUAGGGGGCAAGCGUUAUCCGGAUUUACUGGGUGUAAAGGGAGCGUAGACGGAGCAGCAAGUCUGAUGUGAAAGGCGGGGGCUCAACCCCGCACCGCAUUGGAAACUGUUGAUCUUGAGUACCGGAGAGGUAAGCGGAAUUCCUAGUGUAGCGGUGAAAUGCGUAGAUAUUAGGAGGAACACCAGUGGCGAAGGCGGCUUACUGGACGGUAACUGACGUUGAGGCUCGAAAGCGUGGGGAGCAAACAGGAUUAGAUACC
RNAcentral lists this ribosomal RNA (413 nucleotides) under uncultured bacterium. Its description in RNAcentral is "bacterial SSU rRNA". It matches the Rfam family "Bacterial small subunit ribosomal RNA", at positions 355 to 786 of the family's 1533-position model. The record is from RNAcentral.